CCGGUAAGGUGAUAUGAACCGUUAUAACCGGCGAUACCCGAAUGGGGAAACCCAGUGUGACUCGUCACACUAUCAUUAACUGAAUCCAUAGGUUAAUGAGGCGAACCGGGGGAACUGAAACAUCUAAGUACCCCGAGGAAAAGAAAUCAACCGAGAUUCCCCCAGUAGCGGCGAGCGAACGGGGAGGAGCCCAGAGCCUGAAUCAGCAUGUGUGUUAGUGGAAGCGUCUGGAAAGGCGCGCGAUACAGGGUGACAGCCCCGUACACAAAAGCGCAUGUGCUGUGAGCUCGAUGAGUAGGGCGGGACACGUGGUAUCCUGUCUGAAUAUGGGGGGACCAUCCUCCAAGGCUAAAUACUCCUGACUGACCGAUAGUGAACCAGUACCGUGAGGGAAAGGCGAAAAGAACCCCGGCGAGGGGAGUGAAAAAGAACCUGAAACCGUGUACGUACAAGCAGUGGGAGCACAGGUUUACCUGUGUGACUGCGUACCUUUUGUAUAAUGGGUCAGCGACUUAUAUUCUGUAGCAAGGUUAACCGAAUAGGGGAGCCGGAGGGAAACCGAGUCUUAAUUGGGCGUUAAGUUGCAGGGUAUAGACCCGAAACCCGGUGAUCUAGCCAUGGGCAGGUUGAAGGUUGGGUAACACUAACUGGAGGACCGAACCGACUAAUGUUGAAAAAUUAGCGGAUGACCUGUGGCUGGGGGUGAAAGGCCAAUCAAACCGGGAGAUAGCUGGUUCUCCCCGAAAGCUAUUUAGGUAGCGCCUCGUGAAUUCAUCUCCGGGGGUAGAGCACUGUUUCGGCUAGGGGGCCAUCCCGGCUUACCAACCCGAUGCAAACUGCGAAUACCGGAGAAUGUUAUCACGGGAGACACACGGCGGGUGCUAACGUCCGUCGUGAAGAGGGAAACAACCCAGACCGCCAGCUAAGGUCCCAAAGUCAUGGUUAAGUGGGAAACGAUGUGGGAAGGCCCAGACAGCCAGGAUGUUGGCUUAGAAGCAGCCAUCAUUUAAAGAAAGCGUAAUAGCUCACUGGUCGAGUCGGCCUGCGCGGAAGAUGUAACGGGGCUAAACCAUG
RNAcentral lists this ribosomal RNA (1074 nucleotides) under Salmonella enterica subsp. enterica serovar Enteritidis. RNAcentral's name for it is "partial 23S ribosomal RNA". It matches the Rfam family "Bacterial large subunit ribosomal RNA", at positions 78 to 1191 of the family's 2925-position model. Lineage: Bacteria; Pseudomonadati; Pseudomonadota; Gammaproteobacteria; Enterobacterales; Enterobacteriaceae. The record is from RNAcentral.